RNAcentral lists this ribosomal RNA (459 nucleotides) under uncultured bacterium. RNAcentral describes it as "partial 16S ribosomal RNA". It matches the Rfam family "Bacterial small subunit ribosomal RNA", at positions 338 to 795 of the family's 1533-position model. The record is from RNAcentral.
CCUACGGGUGGCAGCAGUGAGGAAUAUUGGUCAAUGGACGCAAGUCUGAACCAGCCAUGCCGCGUGCAGGAUGACGGCUCUAUGAGUUGUAAACUGCUUUUGUACGGGGGUAAACCCCGAUACGUAUAUCGGGUUGAAAGUAUCGUACGCAUAAGGAUCGGCUAACUCCGUGCCAGCAGCCGCGGUAAUACGGAGGAUGCGAGCGUUAUCAGGAUUUAUUGGGUUUAACGGGUGAGUAGGGGGAAUGCCAAGUCAGCGGUAAAAUCGCGGGGCUCAACCUCGCUCCACCGUUGAAACUGGCGUUCUUGAGUGGGCGAGAAGUAUGCGGAAUGCGUGGUGUAGCGGUGAAAUGCAUAGAUAUCACGCAGAACUCCGAUUGCGAAGGCAGCAUACCGGCGCCCAACUGACGCUGAAGCACGAAAGCGUGGGUAUCGAACAGGAUUAGAUACCCUUGUAGUC